CCAAGGAGUCUAACAUGCGCGCGAGUCGUUGGGCAGUACGAAACCCGAAGGCGCAGUGAAAGCAAGGGCCGCUCUCAGCCAGUGGCUCAGGUGGGAUCCAUGCCCCUUUGUUAAAGGGGGGGCUGGCGCACCACCGGCCCGUCUCGUCCGCGCUGUCGGUGAGGCGGAGCAAGAGCGUGCACGUUGGGACCCGAAAGAUGGUGAACUAUGCCUGAGUAGGACGAAGCCAGAGGAAACUCUGGUGGAGGUCCGCAGCGAUUCUGACGUGCAAAUCGAUCGUCAAACUUGGGUAUAGGGGCGAAAGACUAAUCGAACCAUCUA
Molecule: ribosomal RNA, 321 nt
Filed under: Truncatella guerinii
Lineage: Eukaryota; Metazoa; Mollusca; Gastropoda; Littorinimorpha; Truncatellidae
Description: eukaryotic LSU rRNA
Rfam family: Eukaryotic large subunit ribosomal RNA
Source: RNAcentral